This 69-nucleotide transfer RNA is filed under the name Galeopterus variegatus (Sunda flying lemur). RNAcentral's name for it is "tRNA-Ser". It matches the Rfam family "tRNA". From Rfam's summary of the family: Transfer RNA (tRNA) molecules are approximately 80 nucleotides in length. Their secondary structure includes four short double-helical elements and three loops (D, anti-codon, and T loops). Lineage: Eukaryota; Metazoa; Chordata; Mammalia; Dermoptera; Cynocephalidae. The record is from RNAcentral.
GGGAAAGUCAUAGGGGCUAUGAGGUUGGCUUGAAACCAUCUUUGGGGGGUUCAACUCCUUCCUUUCUCG